Molecule: long non-coding RNA, 833 nt
Organism: Heterocephalus glaber (naked mole-rat)
Lineage: Eukaryota; Metazoa; Chordata; Mammalia; Rodentia; Bathyergidae
Source: Ensembl
CAAAACUCCUCACUUCGUGGUGAACGAGAAACGAGAAAGCAGAGGAGAAGGCGCUCACCUCCCAGUACCCCUCCAAGUUGAUGCCCCUAAUUGUGUAUCAGAGGUCUCUGAAAGAAAUACAAUUGGUAAACGACCGAGGUACUGGGAUAACCUCUCAGGAAUCGUUCCCCACCAGUCCUUUCCCUCCGGCGGUCUAUCAAGCUCACAGGGAAAGACUGAAAAAAGAGCAUCACCGAUGGCCCGGAUGUGAUUGCUUCCUGCACGGUACUGGGAUGUAGCCAACACUUACUGGUGGUCACAGGCACAGUGGGCAUCCACCUACCUCCGACUGCCCACCUCUGUCAACCCUCAGCUCCCGGGUGCUCUCCAGCACUUGGACAGCUCCUCCCCUCCGUGCGGGCUCUGCUCUGCUGCCAGAGGAAAUUUUCUUGUCCUGCCUGAGCUGGGAAGCGAGGAAGUGGCAGAGAUACACACACCUGAGCAAAGAGGAAUGAGCCCAAGAAUGCAUGUACCAGACUCCUGUUCUCAUCUAAAUUAUCAUGUCUAUAAUAAAUGUAUCAGUAGAGAAAAGCAUUGCAGAUACAUUUUACAGGUAGUUUGUUAAUUGUGGUACAAUGCACAUAAGCUAAAAUUUUCCAUUGUCACCGUUUCCAAGUGUAUGGAGCAGUGGCAUUGAAUACAGUCACUCUGUAAUUAAUCAUCAAGCCAUUCAACUCCAGAAUUCCAUCUUCCCAAGCUGAAACUCUGAACUCACAAACACUGACUCUACCCUACCCCAGCCCUGCCCCAGCAGUGACCACUCUACUUUAUUCCUGCGAGUGUUCUCCUCUAAG